Molecule: transfer RNA, 69 nt
Filed under: Scyliorhinus torazame (cloudy catshark)
Lineage: Eukaryota; Metazoa; Chordata; Chondrichthyes; Carcharhiniformes; Scyliorhinidae
Description: tRNA-Trp
Rfam family: tRNA
About the family: Transfer RNA (tRNA) molecules are approximately 80 nucleotides in length. Their secondary structure includes four short double-helical elements and three loops (D, anti-codon, and T loops).
Source: RNAcentral
AGAAAUUUAGGUUAAUUAAACCAAGAGCCUUCAAAGCUUUAAAUAGGGGUGAAACCCCUCUAAUUUCUG